CCUACGGGUGGCAGCAGUGAGGAAUAUUGGUCAAUGGGCGCGAGCCUGAACCAGCCAAGUAGCGUGAAGGAUGACUGCCCUACGGGUUGUAAACUUCUUUUAUAAAGGAAUAAAGUGAGGCACGUGUGCCUUUUUGUAUGUACUUUAUGAAUAAGGAUCGGCUAACUCCGUGCCAGCAGCCGCGGUAAUAUGGAGGAUACGAGCGUUAUUCGGAUUUACUUGGUUUAAAGGGAGCGUAGAUGGGUUGUUAAGUCAGUUGUGAAAGUUUGCGGCUCAACCGUAAAAUUGCAAUUGCUACUGGCAGCCUUGAGUGCAGUUGAGGUAAGCGGAAUUCGUGGUGUAGCGGUGAAAUGCUUAGAUAUCACGAAGAACUCCGAUUGCGAAGGCGGCCUACUAAACUGCCACUGACAUUGAUGCGCGAAAGUGUGGGUAUCAAACAGGAUUAGAUACCCGGGUAGUC
Molecule: ribosomal RNA, 460 nt
Filed under: uncultured bacterium
Lineage: Bacteria
Description: partial 16S ribosomal RNA
Rfam family: Bacterial small subunit ribosomal RNA
Source: RNAcentral